Sphingobacterium sp. Ag1 is the source of this 103-nucleotide non-coding RNA. NCBI's taxonomy places the organism in Bacteria, Pseudomonadati, Bacteroidota, Sphingobacteriia, Sphingobacteriales, Sphingobacteriaceae. The record is from Rfam.
CGCUUAUAGAGAAAGGCCGAGGGACUAGACCCGUUGAAGCCUUAGCAACCUGUAUUGUUCAAGGUGCUAAAUUCUACCCUACUCCAUGUGGGAAAGAUAAGUU